RNAcentral lists this non-coding RNA (46 nucleotides) under Trichobilharzia regenti. Lineage: Eukaryota; Metazoa; Platyhelminthes; Trematoda; Strigeidida; Schistosomatidae. The record is from RNAcentral.
CCACUGCUGAAGAGUCCCAAACUAAGGCGAAACAGCUGUCCAGUAC